Molecule: transfer RNA, 64 nt
Filed under: Philonthus lomatus
Lineage: Eukaryota; Metazoa; Arthropoda; Insecta; Coleoptera; Staphylinidae
Description: tRNA-His
Source: RNAcentral
AUUUAAAUAGUUUAAAAAAAAUAUUGAUUUGUGGAAUCAAAGAUAUGUAAUAACAUUUUAGAUA